CCCUACCUCGGGAGGCAGCAGUGAGGAAUAUUGGUCAAUGGGCGAGAGCCUGAACCAGCCAAGUCGCGUGAGGGAAGACGGUCCUAUGGAUUGUAAACCUCUUUUGCCGGGGAGCAAAAAGCGGUACGUGUACCGCAUCGAGAGUACCCGGAGAAAAAGCAUCGGCUAACUCCGUGCCAGCAGCCGCGGUAAUACGGAGGAUGCGAGCGUUAUCCGGAUUUAUUGGGUUUAAAGGAUGCGCAGGCGGCGAGUUAAGUCAGCGGUAAAAUUUCGGGGCUCAA
Molecule: ribosomal RNA, 281 nt
Filed under: uncultured bacterium
Lineage: Bacteria
Description: partial 16S ribosomal RNA
Rfam family: Bacterial small subunit ribosomal RNA
Source: RNAcentral